CGGGCCGUCGUAUAAUGGUAGUACGCAUGGCUGGGGGUCAUGCAGCCCGGGUCCGAUUCCCGGCGGCCCGA
This 71-nucleotide transfer RNA is filed under the name Candidatus Kaiserbacteria bacterium RIFCSPHIGHO2_01_FULL_55_17. RNAcentral describes it as "tRNA-Pro". It matches the Rfam family "tRNA". Rfam says of the family: Transfer RNA (tRNA) molecules are approximately 80 nucleotides in length. The record is from RNAcentral. Lineage: Bacteria; Candidatus Kaiseribacteriota.